This 361-nucleotide long non-coding RNA is filed under the name Olea europaea (common olive). RNAcentral's name for it is "long non-coding RNA (OEUR_LNC014734)". Lineage: Eukaryota; Viridiplantae; Streptophyta; Magnoliopsida; Lamiales; Oleaceae. The record is from RNAcentral.
UCCCUUUUGUUUUGGCCCUAAAACAUAUAAAACAUAUGUUUAUCUUAACUAAACUCAGUCUGCAUGGGAAAUAGGCAAGAAAGAAAGAGUGACAUUGAGUGACAACUGACAAACGAACGUGGCUGCCUGAGCUCUGAAAGUCUGAGUAUUGGUCUUUGCUGGAAACGUCCAAUCUCUGGAGAAAAGGGUUUUCUUCUGCCUUGAAUAGCGUGGCCCCUCCACUAUUUUGUAGCGCGAUACUCCCGGGCGUAUUAACAGUAGGACCCUUUCACUGCACCAAAACUCACGCCAUGAGCCAUCAACAUCUCUGUCUUUACUCUCUCUCUCUCUCUCUCUCUCUAAAUAUUUGAUUGAAAUUUUG